Molecule: ribosomal RNA, 252 nt
Filed under: uncultured bacterium
Lineage: Bacteria
Description: partial 16S ribosomal RNA
Rfam family: Bacterial small subunit ribosomal RNA
Source: RNAcentral
UACGGAGGGGGCUAGCGUUGUUCGGAAUUACUGGGCGUAAAGCGCGCGUAGGCGGACCUGCAAGUCGGGGGUGAAAGCCCGAGGCUCAACCUCGGAACUGCCUUCGAUACUGCGGGUCUCGAGUCCGGGAGAGGUGAGUGGAAUUCCUAGUGUAGCGGUGGAAUGCGCAGAUAUCAGGAGGAACACCAAUGGCGAAGGCAGCUCGCUGGGCAGUAACUGACGCUGAGGAGCGAAAGCGUGGGAGCGAACAGG